GCUGGGCAUGGUGGCGGGCGCCUGUAAUCCCAGCUACUUGGGAGGCUGAGGCAGGAGAAUUGCUUGAGCCCAGGAGGCAGAGGUUGCAGUGAGCAGAGAUCGAGCCACUGCACUCCAGCCUGGGCAACAGAGCAAGACUUCGUCUUAA
RNAcentral lists this non-coding RNA (148 nucleotides) under Nomascus leucogenys (northern white-cheeked gibbon). Lineage: Eukaryota; Metazoa; Chordata; Mammalia; Primates; Hylobatidae. The record is from Rfam by way of RNAcentral.